UACAGAGGUCUCAAGCGUUGUUCGGAUUCAUUGGGCGUAAAGGGUGCGUAGGUGGUGAUGCAAGUCUGGUGUGAAAUCUCGGAGCUCAGCUCCGAAAUUGCACCGGAUACUGCGUGACUCGAGGACUGUAGAGGAGAUCGGAAUUCACGGUGUAGCAGUGAAAUGCGUAGAUAUCGUAAGGAAGACCAGUGGCGAAGGCGAGUCUCUGGACAGUUACUGACGCUGAGGCACGAAGGCCAGGGGAGCAAACGGG
RNAcentral lists this ribosomal RNA (253 nucleotides) under uncultured bacterium. RNAcentral describes it as "partial 16S ribosomal RNA". It matches the Rfam family "Bacterial small subunit ribosomal RNA", at positions 524 to 776 of the family's 1533-position model. The record is from RNAcentral.